CAUACGAUCUAAGGAUGAAANCGGGGGAUCGCAAGACCUCGCGCGAUUGGAGCGGCCGAUAUCAGAUUAGGUAGUUGGUGAGGUAAAGGCUCACCAAGCCAACGAUCUGUAGCUGGUCUGAGAGGACGACCAGCCACACUGGAACUGAGACACGGUCCAGACUCCUACGGGAGGCCAGCAGUGGGGAAUUUUGGACAAUGGACGCAAGUCUGAUCCAGCCAUUCCGCGUGCAGGAUGAAAGGCCCUCGGGUUGUAGACUGCUUUUGUACGGAACGAAAAGGUUUGUCUUAAUACGAUGAGCUCAUGACGGUACCGUAAGAAUAAGCACCGGCUAACUACGUG
RNAcentral lists this ribosomal RNA (342 nucleotides) under uncultured bacterium. RNAcentral describes it as "bacterial SSU rRNA". It matches the Rfam family "Bacterial small subunit ribosomal RNA", at positions 172 to 507 of the family's 1533-position model. The record is from RNAcentral.